Molecule: ribosomal RNA, 378 nt
Filed under: uncultured bacterium
Lineage: Bacteria
Description: partial 16S ribosomal RNA
Rfam family: Bacterial small subunit ribosomal RNA
Source: RNAcentral
CCUACGGGAGGCAGCAGUGGGGAAUAUUGCACAAUGGGCGAAAGCCUGAUGCAGCAACGCCGCGUGAAGGAAGACGGUUUUCGGAUUGUAAACUUCUGUUCUUAGUGAAGAAUAAUGACGGUAACUAAGGAUCAAGCCACGGCUAACUACGUGCCAGCAGCCGCGGUAAUACGUAGGUGGCAAGCGUUGUCCGGAAUUACUGGGUGUAAAGGGAGGGUAGGCGGGAAGUCAAGUCAGCUGUGAAAACUACGGGCUUAACCUGUAGACUGCAGUUGAAACUGGCUGUCUUGAGUGUAGUAGAGGUUGGUGGAAUUCCGGGUGUAGCGGUGAAAUGCGUAGAUAUUCAGAGGAAUACCGAUGGCGAAGGCGGCCAACUGG